UAGGGAAUCUUCGGCAAUGGACGAAAGUCUGACCGAGCAACGCCGCGUGAGUGAAGAAGGUUUUCGGAUCGUAAAACUCUGUUGUUAGAGAAGAACAAGGACGUUAGUAACUGAACGUCCCCUGACGGUAUCUAACCAGAAAGCCACGGCUAACUACGUGCCAGCAGCCGCGGUAAUACGUAGGUGGCAAGCGUUGUCCGGAUUUAUUGGACGUAAAGCGAGCGCAGGCGGUUUCUUAAGUCUGAUGUGAAAGCCCCCGGCUCAACCGGGGAGGGUCAUUGGAAACUGAGAGACUUGAGUGCAGAAGAGGAGGGUGGAAUUCCAUGUGUAGCGGUGAAAUGCGUAGAUAUAUGGAGGAACACCAGUGGCGAAGGCGGCUCUCUGGUCUGUAACUGACGCUGAGGCUCGAAAGCGUGGGGAGCAAACAGG
This 429-nucleotide ribosomal RNA is filed under the name Gemmatimonadota bacterium. RNAcentral's name for it is "Gemmatimonadetes bacterium partial 16S ribosomal RNA". It matches the Rfam family "Bacterial small subunit ribosomal RNA", at positions 355 to 776 of the family's 1533-position model. The record is from RNAcentral. Lineage: Bacteria; Pseudomonadati; Gemmatimonadota.